CGCCCCUGGCAAUGGGCAGAAAGACACCUUAUUGGAGGUGGUGUUCUUCUAUCAGUCAGGGGCAGAGCAGAUGGCAGUUCUUUGCUCCUCCAGCUUGAUGGCUGGCUUGGUGGCCAAAGCUGUUUUAUGCCUAGGACUCAUAA
This is a small nucleolar RNA of Mus pahari (shrew mouse), 143 nucleotides long. RefSeq annotates it as small nucleolar RNA SNORA48. Lineage: Eukaryota; Metazoa; Chordata; Mammalia; Rodentia; Muridae. The record is from RefSeq and is a predicted model, not a curated record. The transcript has a single exon.